Tachyglossus aculeatus (Australian echidna) is the source of this 846-nucleotide long non-coding RNA. RefSeq lists it as uncharacterized. The record is from RefSeq and is a predicted model, not a curated record. Lineage: Eukaryota; Metazoa; Chordata; Mammalia; Monotremata; Tachyglossidae. The transcript is spliced from 3 exons.
CUAGGGAAGAGAGGAGAAAAGAGGUCACUCUGUGCCAAUGUAUACUACUGUCAACAAACUGGGGUUUGCAGGUUUACAACUAGCUUGAGUCUCAGCCUAGACCACUCAUAAUCAAAUCUUUAUCUUCUAACAGCUCCUUAGUGGCUUCUUGGUGAAGUGGAUUACGGCACGGAGACCGGUUCCUACAAAGACAGGUGAGCUGAAAAUGGGUUCUAAGGAAGCGGGCACCAAAUGAUGGCUCUGUUGGAACACAGAUUUUGAAAAUAAGAUCGUGCUGGCACAAACCUGAGGCUGAGAGAGGGAGCUUUUUCUCCCAGACAUCACCAACCUCAUCGCAAUUCCCCGGCUGCGUGACCUGUGCUCGAAAUCCGAGGCCCAAUGGAGACCGAGUUUUUGGUAAUUUGAAAAACAGCUAACGAGGCAGCCGUUUACAGAGGUGGGUAGUCUCUGUUCUAGCAGAUAACUGAAGUGCCUAAUUCUACUUUUUUUUGAAAAGCAAACUUCCUUAGAUGUUUUCCUCAGCCAGACCUGAAGGGAAGGAGAGUCCACCCCAAAAUCUGUCAACAAAAUGUCACCCUUCUAUCUUGGGAAAUACGGAAGAUAUUGCAGAGAGUGAUGAGCAGUACGUUAGCAGUGGAAUGAGCAGUGCAUUAACCUGGGUCUUCACACUGGGAAUCGAAAAGUGAUCAAUAGCCUAAAUCCUAGGGACAGGAAGCAGAAGGCCUGCUUACCAAUAGCUUCCCUGCUAAGGGCUCUGGAGGCUCUUAUGUAAUCUUAAUAGGACAUCGGGGCAAACUGCCCUCCCUAAACAGCAGACAGCUGGGAGCUCACUUUAUGCAGCCACAU